RNAcentral lists this ribosomal RNA (308 nucleotides) under Acanthodactylus blanfordii (Blanford's fringe-fingered lizard). RNAcentral's name for it is "partial 12S ribosomal RNA". It matches the Rfam family "Bacterial small subunit ribosomal RNA", at positions 869 to 1344 of the family's 1533-position model. The record is from RNAcentral. Lineage: Eukaryota; Metazoa; Chordata; Lepidosauria; Squamata; Lacertidae.
CCGCCAGAGAACUACUAGUGAAAACUUAAAACUCAAAGGACUUGGCGGUGUCCCACAUCGACCUAGAGGAGCCUGUCCUAUAAUCGAUACUCCCCGUUCCACCCGACCUUUACUUGCACAUUCAGCCUAUAUACCGCCGUCGACAGUCUACCCCAUGAGGGCCUAUUAGUAGACACAAUAGCAACUACUCGCUAGUACGUCAGGUCAAGGUGUAGCAAAUGUCAAGGCAGCGAUUGGCUACAUUUUUUAUUUUAAACAAACGAAAUGCAACAUGAAACAUUGCACGAAGGUGAAUUUAGCAGUAAAGU